Molecule: ribosomal RNA, 465 nt
Filed under: Vreelandella stevensii
Lineage: Bacteria; Pseudomonadati; Pseudomonadota; Gammaproteobacteria; Oceanospirillales; Halomonadaceae
Description: partial 16S ribosomal RNA
Rfam family: Bacterial small subunit ribosomal RNA
Source: RNAcentral
CCUACGGGGGGCUGCAGUGGGGAAUAUUGGACAAUGGGGGGAACCCUGAUCCAGCCAUGCCGCGUGUGUGAAGAAGGCCCUCGGGGUGUAAAGCACUUUCAGUGAGGAAGAACGCCUGGUGGUUAAUACCCAUCAGGAAUGACAUCACUCACAGAAGAAGCACCGGCUAACUCCGUGCCAGCAGCCGCGGUAAUACGGAGGGUGCGAGCGUUAAUCGGAAUUACUGGGCGUAAAGCGCGCGUAGGUGGCUUGAUAAGCCGGUUGUGAAAGCCCCGGGCUCAACCUGGGAACGGCAUCCGGAACUGUCAAGCUAGAGUGCAGGAGAGGAAGGUAGAAUUCCCGGUGUAGCGGUGAAAUGCGUAGAGAUCGGGAGGAAUACCAGUGGCGAAGGCGGCCUUCUGGACUGACACUGACACUGAGGUGCGAAAGCGUGGGUAGCAAACAGGAUUAGAUACCCGAGUAGUC